UGGGGAAUAUUGCACAAUGGGCGCAAGCCUGAUGCAGCCAUGCCGCGUGUAUGAAGAAGGCCUUCGGGUUGUAAAGUACUUUCAGUCGGGAGGAAGGGAGUAAAGUUAAUACCUUUGCUCAUUGACGUUACCCGCAGAAGAAGCACCGGCUAACUCCGUGCCAGCAGCCGCGGUAAUACGGAGGGUGCAAGCGUUAAUCGGAAUUACUGGGCGUAAAGCGCACGCAGGCGGUUUGUUAAGUCAGAUGUGAAAUCCCCGGGCUCAACCUGGGAACUGCAUCUGAUACUGGCAAGCUGGAGUCUCGGAGAGGGGGGUAGAAUUCCAGGUGUAGCGGUGAAAUGCGUAGAGAUCUGGAGGAAUACCGGUGGCGAAGGCGGCCCCCUGGACGAAGACUGACGCUCAGGUGCGAAAGCGUGGGGAGCAAACAGG
This 429-nucleotide ribosomal RNA is filed under the name Chloroflexota bacterium. RNAcentral describes it as "Chloroflexi bacterium partial 16S ribosomal RNA". It matches the Rfam family "Bacterial small subunit ribosomal RNA", at positions 355 to 776 of the family's 1533-position model. The record is from RNAcentral. Lineage: Bacteria; Bacillati; Chloroflexota.